CCUACGGGUGGCUGCAGUGAGGAAUAUUGGUCAAUGGGCGGAAGCCUGAACCAGCCAAGUAGCGUGCAGGAUGACGGCCCUACGGGUUGUAAACUGCUUUUAUACGGGAAUAACGCGCCUUACGUGUAGGGCUUUGCAUGUACCGUAUGAAUAAGGACCGGCUAAUUCCGUGCCAGCAGCCGCGGUAAUACGGAAGGUCCGGGCGUUAUCCGGAUUUAUUGGGUUUAAAGGGAGCGUAGGCCGCAUGUCAAGCGUGCUGUGAAAUGUCCGGGCUCAACCCGGGCCGGCCGUUGAAACUGGGGAUCUUGAGUGGGCGAGAAGUAUGCGGAAUGCGUGGUGUAGCGGUGAAAUGCAUAGAUAUCACGCAGAACUCCGAUUGCGAAGGCAGCAUACCGGCGCCCGACUGACGCUGAGGCACGAAAGCGUGGGGAUCGAACAGGAUUAGAUACCCUAGUAGUC
Molecule: ribosomal RNA, 459 nt
Filed under: uncultured bacterium
Lineage: Bacteria
Description: partial 16S ribosomal RNA
Rfam family: Bacterial small subunit ribosomal RNA
Source: RNAcentral